CUGAAUGGCAUUUAUUAUCCAGACAGUGUAUCAUGGCCAGUUACCCUGAUGGAUUGGUAAGAACAUGCCUUGGCUCCAUACCAUUACGCAGUCCUUAUAUAGGGAUUUUUUUUCUUAAGUAAGGACUGAAAUGUGACACCAUGCAAGUCUUUCAGACUUACCUCGUAAGGAGCAUGCGCUGCUUGUGCACACUCCAGAGGAGACUGUCUUCCACCAAGAUCCCUUUGCUCAGAUUUCACAUGCGGCAGCCAAAGUUCCCGUUAAAGCCAGCUAUAGUUUUGCCUGAAUAAGGACCGGAGGACCUAGCCAGAUCUUGUAGGAUAAAAGAAGGGAAGAGUGGAAGAGGCAUCAGUUCAGAACAAUGAGAAGCAGUUCCUGUUGCCCGCCAGCUGCUGCAAGGGAGGUUGUUCCAUGAUUAGUGACCUUCAAAGGCAGUACUUCAGCUCGUUUCUUCAGCCUAGUCUGCUGUUAGAGGAAGACCGUCUUCUCAAUGACCUGACCUCGUCAUGUGUAGGGGAUCACUCACCUCUUAACUGUGAUUGCUCCAAGGCUGCAGGAAAAUUACAUUUUUUGAGAACUUCAUCCCAAAGGCCUGAGCAAUGUUGAGGCACAGAUCUCAGCUAUAUCAUGUUCCCAACACUCUCUCUUUGGAAGCCCGAAGAAAGAAAUGUGCUUGCAGCAUGACGGACAGAAAAACUGGUUCAGGCAAGUCAGAAGCUGUGGAAGAAAUGGAAAGAGAGAAUUGGAGCCAGAAAGUCUCAAAGAGGACAUUUUUUGCUGAUUUUUUUUGGAUGACUGCAUCAGUUUUGAGCACCUCGGAAAAAGCAAUUUGUUUUUCACUCCUGGCAUAUCGUGUUUGUUCAAAUAGAGCCAUUAAAAGUGUGGGCAUAAUAGUUCGUGAGGCAGCUUGUGACCCAUACCACUUUCUCUUGCCUUCUUCACCCUAGUUAAACUUUAGAAGCUUCCCACAUUAUUCUCAAGUGCUUCUUGCAGGGCAACAGUUGGUUUUCAUUGAACUUGGAAUGGAAAACGUGGACAAGUUCUGCAAACUCUUUUGAGAACAGAGAAAUGGGAAAAUGAAGAACAAUAUUUCUCUCUGUAUCAAGAACAGCUGUCACACUAUGCCAAGCACACUAAUGAAAAAAUUAGUAAUAAACAGUUAGCAGUGUAUCUUCAAGAGAAGUGUAACCAACUUACGUGUAGAAAAUAAAGAACUACAAACUAAUGAAGAAAAAUAUAUAGUGUUACAUCCAAACCAGUCAAGCUGUGCAGGGAAAGAAAGGCUAUCCAUUUCUGUCCUGUAAGCCAUGGCACUUUCAUUUGUAAAUUUUCCCUGCUUUUCUCUAUUUUUUAAAAUUGUCUCAUCUAGGCAGCUGGGUCUCUUUUAAGUGAUAGAAACUACCUAAAUGUCAAGAACAUGCUUCAGAAUAAGGAGAUUUAUGCUUAUGACUGUCUCUUUUCCAUAUCUAGUAUGCUAUUUAUCUAGAGUUGUGAUCAUGGAAUCAUAGAAUGGCCUGGGUUGAAAAGGACCACAGUGAUCAUGUAGUUUCAACCCCCCUGCUAUGUGCAGGGUCGCCAACCACCAGACCAGGCUGCCCAGAGCCACAUCCAGCCUGGCCUUGAAUGCCUCCAGGGAUGGGGCGUCCACAACCUCCUUGGGCAACCUGUUCCAGUGCGUCACCACCCUCUGGGUGAAAAACUUCCUCCUAAUAUCUAACCUAAACCUCCCCUGUCUCAGUUUAAAACCAUUCCCCCUUGUCCUAUCACUAUCCACCCUUGUAAACAGCCGUUCCCCCUCCUGGAGGUAUUAUGGUUUCUUGCUGGAUCCAGGUAUUUUAUAUUGAUGUUAGAAGCUGUGGCUACAGAGCUGCCAGCUUAACUAUAAACAGUAUCUGAUCAGGUGAGUUAGUGAACUGUAAGGUCAGAGGCCAUAGUAUUACCUUGUCUGCCCUGCUACCAUUUUGUCUAUCAGCCAUUAUACAGUGCAGCCUGGCUUAGCCACAUCAUUGACCUCAGCUUCAUUAAAUGGCACUGUUUUCUUGCCUGAUGUAGAAGGCUCUCAUAACAAAGUUAAAAACUGCCAUUGAUAGUUUUUUGAGUUACUCUUUUUAUUCAGGGCAAAGCAAGUAGAAUCUCCUUCAGUUUCUCUGUAAUUUUCACUUCUUCUGUUAUGUUUUAACAUUUUCUCUAUCCUCUUCUGGCUUGAGCUGGUUAGGGAAUCAGAGCUUCAUGCUUGCUAAUGUAAUGAAUGCAUGUUUGACACUGUAUUGCAGCCUUUCUGUGGAAUUUGAUUCUGACAUAAGCUGGUGGGACAGGCUGUCAUUUGUCACUCUUAUGAUGUUUUCCUUGUGAAUGAGUUCUUUGGUAUCCUUUUGCCCAAAGGACAGUCUUCUCUCACCUGCUCUGUUUUCUUCCAGUGCUUAUUGUUCUGCUUGUGCUAAUGCAGAGAGACAGUUGCUAUCCUUUAGAAAUUUACAAUAGGCAUUAACCUAAGGCACUGACACAAGUAUUUUUGUGAUUCAAAGUAGACAUUAAACAGCUGAAGUAGGAGGGGGGUGGCCAUACCUAUGAAUGAAGCUGGUGCACUGUGGAAACCUUAGCUAAUUACUUCUGGAUGAAGAAACCUUCAAGGUCCGCUGGCUAAGAUAUUGGAGGCUGUUACCUGAGCAGUUCCCUGGCCCCAGGCAAUGAGCUAGCACAGCUUCCAGCCUGUGCCAGACCAUUAGCUGCAAGCUACUAAUAUGACACAUCCCUCACGACUUGUCCUCUAAAGCCAGCACUGGAUUCAGUCCCAGAUCCAAGCUCCUACGUCAUGUGGCUUUUUCAGAUUUUCAGUUUUGUUUUUUUUAAUUAGAAACAAACCAGCACAUGCUAAAGCCUAACCAUUCCUUCCUGCUUAAAAAAAAACCCAAACAAACAAACAAACAAACCCACUGCUGAUACAGCAGUGCUUGCUUUGGUAUACAGCAGUACUGGUGAGAGGCGUGACCAAACUGGAAGCCUCACUGUGGUGCUGAUGCUAUGGCAUCAGCCAUAUGAUCUGUGAUCUGCAAAACUCUUCCAAAAGCACUUCUUGAGAAGGCUGUAUGAGAAAGAUACAGCAGGCCCAAGUGCAAGCUUUUGUAGAAAUACCUCCACAGGCCUGGAAAAGUGUUGCCAUAAAUAAAGAGCAUAAAGAGUUUCCUUGGCUGGAAUGGGAGAGUGACUGCUGACAUUACUUAACUUGGAGGUGGUGAACAUGUGAUUAAGAUUUUCUGUCUCCUAAUCAUGGCCUUGCCUGUCCUAUUACUGUUUACCCAAGAUGAACACCUUGAGCUGAAGUUUGAGGUCCAGAUCCCAGUCCCACCACAGCAUCUCUUAGCACCACAAGCUGUAGGACUUGUAGUUUAAAGAUCAGCACUGUUGGCUUCUGGCUGAUACAGCAAACACUUAUUCCUCUCUGCUCAUUUAAGGUAGCACAAAACUAUUUUAAGCAGGCACAAGCCUUGUGCAGGAAAGCUCACACAACUCUGACAACUCCAAAGCCGGGGAAGGGCAGCUGAGAUAAGUGAAUGCAAAGGAUCUACAUCUCAAACAGCUCUAAACCACCAUGGCUUUUAAUCCCCUGGUGUAAUGAGAGUGUCAGUAGGCUCCUUCCUCUAAGUGGAGUGCUACUGGGAGCACCAUGCUGGGUCAAGCCAUUAGUCAUGGGCAUCUGUGGAAAGCAGGCCCACAUGUGCCUUGGGCUGUGCUGGAGCAGGUCAGUGGAGGAGGACAGGAGGUACUCACUGGGCUGCAGGACAGGCCAAGGUGAGCCUGGCCAAUACAGCCUGCAGCCAACUUGACUGCUGCUGUGUUGGAGCACCACAGCUGCCCUUGGGAUUUGUUGUUUGACUGUUAACCCCUCUAAAAUAAAUUGUUUUUUAAAGAAAGAAUGUCUGCCCCAGUCUGCAGGGUUCACUCAGUCUUUUCCCUUUGAAAACUGUGGCUUAAUAAAUCUCCCAGUAGUGAAACAAAGAACAUGGAACUAUAUAUAUAUGCUGGCUUCAUUUGAAGAUCUGUCACACACACCAUGCUUCUAACAGUCCAACCAUUUCAACAAAUAGUGUUUUUGUUUGUUUGUUUGUUUUGGGGGGGAAGGGAAGGACUUCUGUUAACCUGUCUUAGCAAACCAGUAAAAUCCAUUCUACAGACUCCUUCAUACUACAUAAAGAUGCCUCCCACAGAGGUUGUACUUAGCCCACCUCCUCCAUGGAGUGGCAUUCCCACCUGACCAUGCUAUAUCUUCUUAACUCUAGGAGAGCCCAUCAUCUUCUGUAUGGGUAGCAGGUGGCAACAGGUGUUUCAACUGCAGUAACUCAAUUGUUAAGUAUGGAAACAGCUGGGCCUGCUUAUGGUCCUUCUGUUAUUAGCUGUUUGUUGCCAUUCCUUAGCAACCAUCUGCAGUUAAACCUGUGGCUGAGCUCAUGGGGGAAGCUUGGAAGAGCCCUUUGGAUGCUUUUCUCUAGUAAGUGAAGCUAACCUAGUUGAGUUGGGAUGGGAAAUAGCUUCUGUAAUUUAUCUUACCAACUCUGUUGUGUUAUGGACUUCAGCAGAGGUGUAAUGUUGGGCAUGCAAGUAAUGUUUUAACCUUGUACAGCUGUUUCUGCAACAAGUGAUGGUGAGCUACAAAGGGAAAGAAUUUGAUCUACAUGUUAUUCCAGCCUUUUCUAAAUGUACUUAUGUUGCUCUUUAAUCUUCCUUUGGAUUUUCUGGUACCUGGGAUCCUUUGAAGUUCAAUUAUAUUGGCUUAUACUCAGAAACUGAUUGACUGUACUGUUCUUAGCACCAUGGUGGUUUUUCCACCCAGGAUGGUUGUUCCAAAUGCUGGCACUGUUUUAAUUUUACUUAAGCAGAUUUACUAAGCUGUCUAAGCUUACAGUCUAAAAUUUUUCUAUUUAAAUGUGUCUAUUAACUGUUGUCAGCAUCCCCUGAAGGAGGGAGCAGGCUGCCACUAUAUUUGCUUUCUGCCUCUGUAGCCCCCCAGAGCCAUCCACUGGGCUGAUGUUGUAGUAUAGAGAGUGCAGUAAGGAAUUAACCCCCUUAUGAGCCUCUCUGUGUCAACAGGACAUCUCAUUGUUUCUGGUUGCCCAUUGGUCAGAGAAAAGACCUCAACAGCUUGCUUAGUGGAAGCUCUCAGCUUGGCUGUAGAGUGCAUCUGAGCUCUGUGUUAUUCAUGUCUUGAACAGCAUGAACUUUGAGCUGCUUGGUGAGCCCCAGGACAAGAGGGUGGGAUAGACUCCCAGUUUUUAGAUGCACUGACUGCUAUUGGGGAAGUGAGCAGUCCAGUCCCAAUAACUAAGCAUCUACUGCUGCCCUGUUUUAAAUGAUAUUUCAGAAAAUAAUAUCAACCUCUGAAAAGUUAAUCUUCAGUUUGUGUUUGCAGUCUACCAAGUGCUUUGGUGUUUAGGUAUCCAGGUUAUCAUCUCAUGCAUGUAUAUUUCAGUGCUACUUCACGUAUAUAUGUGUGUAUAUAUAUAUUUUUUUCUCUUGCUAUUUAUAUCUAGGUACAAGCUUCCUGUAAUAUUAUUCACUUUUUUUAUAAAAAAGUCUUUUUUUUUUUUUCUUUGUGGCAGUUUUCACAGUUUUUACAGCUGCUACUUUGUUUGGGUCAGGCUGUAAUCUUUCUUUAGAAACCCAGUCUCAGAAGUUAUGGGCCUAUCAAAAACCGGCAGUUUAAUUUUAUAGACACACCUGUGAAUUUAAUUCUCUGUCUGAAACUUCUUUUAAGUCCUUAAAGGGUCAUUCCAAACUCAAGAGAGAAAGCUAUGAUUGCGUCGUCUCAGUAAACUGCAUGCUAUAUUGACAUACUGAACCUGGCAGCUGAAUGUUCAUUAAUCCUGAAACCUUGCCAAGUCACUUGUAAUUCCAAAAGGCACUACAUUUAAAAUAAAAAGUUCCCUUUAUGAUGAAAUCCCACUUCCUUAAAAUGGAUGAUGGCAAUAAGAAAUAAAAUACAUUUGUAACUGCUAACACCUGCUAGUAAGAUCAAGGGUAGUUAAGUAUUCCUAAUUGAAAGAAGCUUCAGUGAACUGUAAAUUCAAGUUCUAGGAUAUUUUUUCCCCCCUGUCUUCCCCCACUUUAUUUUUGUUAUCAUUUUAAAUUUAAACCUAAAGACUAAACUGAAGUUUAGGAUUGAAGCUACAUAAAUUAGCUCUAUUCUCCUGAUGGCUACGCCAAAGGAAGAAGGAUUUUUUUUAACUGCAGCAAACCUGACGUCUAGUGUAGCCUUACAGCUCUGCUUUUAAGGAUAAUGCAUUUGGGACUAUGAUUAUUACAUGUUGCACGUAAACAAUAGGAAGAAAUACUGCUCUUAACCCCAAAAACUUUUCUGCUUCAUUUAGUAAGGUGAGGAAGAUGACCUUGAAACAUACAAAGUAACUGUAAAAUCCGCACCCUUCACAGACUGUGUCUUAAGUCAAACUUUAAAUUUAUCAAAGUUCACAAGCAGGAUGUAAAAGAACAAAAUACAGAAAGAAAGUAUGUUUGUCAACACAGGCAGCUCAUAAAUGUAGCAUGGCCGUGACUAGGUACAGUAAGUCUCUUGAUCGUUGUUUAAAUUGUGACUAAAAUGUUUUUGUUUUACAAUGGAGUGAAAUACUGUAGGUCUCUUACUGUGUGCUCCUUUUAAGCAAAAGCAUUUACAAGCCAUGGCCAAGUCUAUUUGAAGAACUGAUAGCUUGACUAAAUAAAAAUACCUGAGAUCUCUAGACUCUCUAUUCUUUUGGAUAUUCACCGCAAUUUUGUAAUUUUUAGCAAUUUAGGGAAGGUAAAAUUGCCACUCUAUUGAAGCCAAUGUGAGUUCUGACAUUUAUUGAAGUAAGGCCAGUAUUUUUCAGGGAGUACAUUACCAGAGGUGCUCUGUUCUUAUGGCUGGCAGAUAGUCUGCAUUCUUAUCAGAACCUGUUACAUGCUCAUCUGAAUCUGCUGAAGUCUUUCUUUCGCUUAACAUGAUGCAUAUCUACUCUGCUCUUUGGUAAUUUGGUGGGAAGUGUGUGGUGGUAUUUCUUAUUUAUUUUUUUCUUAAUGUGUUAGAAAAAGCUGAAAAACCAAAGAGGGAGAGUUGAGUUGAUCAGAUGUGUGGUUUGGAAAGCCUGAGCGCCAAUUUGCCUAAACACUUAGGUUUGCUUAAGAUGGGAGGGUGUGAGUGACCAUCAGAAGGGCAGUUGUCUUGCCGUAGACAAGCCCUGCACUCGGGGAGCUCAGCUAGAUAAGAACUACUUAGAGACAUCACUAGGGGGAACAAAUCUUGCCUGUAGUGACAAGGAAGCAGCUUUUAACAUGGAACAACGUGUGUACUGUGGCACUUAUGCAGUGGAUGCUUAACCCAGGCACUUUGGUUUUACUAGAAGGUAAAUUAGCCCAGGUCAAAUAACUGUGCUGACUUUGCCUGGUUGUUAGUAAAAUCUGCCAGCACUUGUGGCAUGUUGUGCUUUGUAGCAAGGUAAGCAAAAAAUAAAUGGGAUGGCUAAAUAAAAAAAAAAAAAAAAAACUAACAUCCUCUUUGAACUCCAUGCCUUCAUGAUAGAGAGUAACCUCAGUCCUGAAAACCAGGGAGACAGGUUAUUCUGGUGGCCUCAAUAAAUAACUCUCUUUAUAUUCUCUGUAAUUGAAUCUUGUCUUUCUCUCCUCACAUCUCUCAUCUCAGAGACAACAUGAGGCUGGGGGGGGGGGGGGGGG
Long non-coding RNA from Gallus gallus (chicken), 7698 nucleotides. Lineage: Eukaryota; Metazoa; Chordata; Aves; Galliformes; Phasianidae. The record is from Ensembl.